This 488-nucleotide ribosomal RNA is filed under the name Megascolecidae sp. SC201701-01. RNAcentral's name for it is "partial large subunit ribosomal RNA". It matches the Rfam family "Bacterial large subunit ribosomal RNA", at positions 1827 to 2601 of the family's 2925-position model. The record is from RNAcentral. Lineage: Eukaryota; Metazoa; Annelida; Clitellata; Crassiclitellata; Megascolecidae.
CAUUGUCUCAUGAAUAAAAUAUGAGAUAGUACCUGCCCAGUGACACACUGUUCAACGGCCGCGGUAUCCUAACCGUGCAAAGGUAGCAUAAUCACUUGCCUAUUAAUUGUAGGCUAGAAUGAAGGGGUUAACGAAAUAAAAACUGUCUCAAUUAAUUAACUAAAAAUUAUUCUCUACCUGAAGAAGGUGGAUAAACUCGAAGGACAAGAAGACCCUAUAGAGCUUAAUUUUACUUAUAGAGCCACCCUAUAAAAAUAUUCGGUUGGGGCGACCCAGGGCUAAAUAAUCACCCACUAAAUAAAAGACAUAUAAAUCAAAUAAGUGACCCUUUAAAGAUCAUAAGAACAAGCUACCUUAGGGAUAACAGGCUAAUCCCACUUAAGAGUCCUUAUCAACAGUGGGGUUUGGCACCUCGAUGUUGGCUUAGGGUAUCUAUAUAGCGCAAAAGUUAUAUAAAGAUGGUUUGUUCAACCAAUAAUAUCCUACGU